This is a long non-coding RNA of Daphnia carinata, 2052 nucleotides long. RefSeq lists it as uncharacterized. The record is from RefSeq and is a predicted model, not a curated record. NCBI's taxonomy places the organism in Eukaryota, Metazoa, Arthropoda, Branchiopoda, Diplostraca, Daphniidae. The transcript has 5 exons.
UUCCGCCUAUUGGGCUUCCUCUCUUCUGAUUGCCAGUGAACGGCCAAUCAUCAACGACCUUCUGUGUACUGAACUACAGGCGUCUGCAAAAUUCCAUACGGUGUGGAACGAAGAAAGUGCUUGUGUUGGAGGUGUAAAAAGCCGUAACAAUAAUUUCUCAUUUUCUUUUUUUUUUUUUCGUUAUGCGAGUGAGCAUAGAUUUUUAUCUUUUACCACGUUUUUGAACUGUUGGUAUAUUGGUAUGCAAGAUGAAACUUAAUUGAAAACAUUUUCUACUGUGUUUCCCAUGCUGGUUCCAGUGUCUUCAGUUGACCCCUAGAAUCCGGGAAUUAGUCACGCACAUCUAAUCUGACUUGAAUCUUUCAGGUUGCGUGGAAGGAUAUUACGAAAAAGACUUAACUUUAGCCGUAGCCUUCCCAAUCCAAGUGAUUUUUGUCUUGCCUGAAAUAGUGAAGGAAAAAAGGUGUCAAAUCAGGCUUCAUCUCCACUCAGUGACAUGGACAAUGAAGAAUACAUUGUUGGGAAAAUUCUCGGGCUGAGGAGAAGGAUGGUGAAGUUGGGCAUGUGCUGAUAGGGAUUGGUGUUUAAAACAAUGGUAAUAAUUGGGAUCCCAAGAAAAUCUUUAUUGUAAUAAUUUGAUUGCAGCAUUUGAAAGCAAAUGUCUAUCGUUGACUAAGAAUCCUGAAAACAAGCUAAGCCAAGAGAAGAAAAUUGUGAAGAAAAAAGAACUAAAGCACAGAUGUCAUUAUGGAUGCCCAGUCUUCCAACAGGAUUUGAUCGAAAUGUAGAGGCGGAGAAAAUUUUAGGAGUGAGCGAUGACGGUGGCGAAACUAUAUAGAUACUUGUAUGGAUGUGUAAAGAAUGAUGAUUGCAGGGCAUAAUUUUCUUUUAUACAAUACUUUUCUAUUUUUAUUGUUAUAAAUUUUGUCUUUUUAGCCGUUGAAUGUAGCUGGAACAGAACACAUUCGAUUGCAGCAUCAGGAUAUCUGGCUUGCCGGACGAUUAAACGUCCCUGUGUGGAUACAGAUAUUGUGUCUCGUUUUUACCCUAAAUUUUUUCUGGGAUAAUAACUUUACUACUAAUACCAUGAAUUAGAUGAAUAGCAAUUGAACAGCUUUUCAGGUUCUAACAAACGGUCAUGAGUAGGUAAUGCUAUUAUGCAGAAUGUGAUUUAGUGCUUUAGCCUUUUGAAAAGAUUGGCGAGUCAAAGGACGCCCUGUUUACCACAGCGUUGAAGGAUUGAUGGAUCUCCUGCCAAAUCGCCACAGGUGGAACAUUUGUAUCGGCGACAAGCACCCACCAGCAGCAGACGAAAUCCAAAGUGUGUGUUCGUGCGCCUGUGACUCGUUUGACAACAUCGUAACUUUUGAGCGAAAAGCGAGUAUUUCGAGAUUAUUUUUGAAAAUGUGGGCAGUUCUUGGUUCGCGUGUGAAUCAACGUAAAGGUAUGUGCAGCAUGUAAUCGCCCAGUUUCCUUCCCGUUUUGCUUUUUUGGUCUUACAAUUUGACAUUUUGACGGUCGUGGAAAUGUUUAAUUAUCUUUUAAUGACACUCCUGUUAAAGCAUAGGUGUAUAGUUGAAUCUCAUUUCAUCUUCUUUUACCCUCUUCAUUAGGUGAAUAGCUGAAUCUCAUUACAUCUUCUUUUACCCUCUUCAUUGUAUGGAAAUUAUGUCGGUAACUAUUUUGCUCUGUGUAUUUGUUAAAACUGCCCCAUAGCAUUUCAAGUGAAAUUUUUAUUUGUUUUUAGGUAAUAGUUUAAAUGUGUAAAAAGUGUUGGUGGUAGGUAAUGAGAGCUAUUCCUUUAUGCACUGGCUUUCCACUUUUAUUGUAAUAAAUGUCUUUCUAGCUGUUGAAAGUAGCUGUAACAGGAUGAUGACAAAUUGCAGCACUAGGAUGUUUGGUUUGCUGGAUGAUAAAAUGUUUCUGUGUGAGGAUCCAGACAUUGUGUCUAGAACUUCGUCUAGAACAAUUUAUUUAUCUUCAUUUAAUAUCCCUAGAUUUCUGGGAUAAUAAAUAUGCUACUAACACUAUGAAUUAGAAGACUAGCAGUUG